UGUGUGACCAAGAUCGGAUGGCCCUGAUUCGAACACACGCCAAUCCAAUAGCUCGUGCGAUAAACAACCCAAAUCUAUUUUGUUGCGGUCCGACGGCCAAGAAAUUUAACAGUCGGAUGCGUAAGGAUUUGAAAUAGACAACUAGGAUUCUCAUGAUGGGGGAAAGGACCGAUCUGCCCUUAAUCAAGGGCAUUUGGAUAACUCUCCACAUGUCAUGUCACCUCAAUCAAACAACUAAGAUUCUUUAGGAAGGAGUAUUUAAACCCAUCAUCUGUCAACUCCUAAAACCCUAACCGACAGAGAGGAGGAGAAAGGGGAAGAGAACAACACUAGGAGAAGGAAGCACACAGCGGAGUGAGGCGGCACCAUCGUUCUAGAGACAUAAAUUGAUGCCACUAAGCUCGAUUUUUCCUUUUUUCUUCUCCAUAUUCUUUAUUUUAGCUAAACCCAUGAUAUUGUUAGAAAAUGACAAAACUGGUAGGAAACAGCAUGAUAAUGGCCGAUGGCCAUGAGAGGCAGAGCUCU
RNAcentral lists this long non-coding RNA (525 nucleotides) under Carica papaya (papaya). RNAcentral's name for it is "long non-coding RNA (CPAP_LNC012575)". The record is from RNAcentral. Lineage: Eukaryota; Viridiplantae; Streptophyta; Magnoliopsida; Brassicales; Caricaceae.